AUGGCAACAAUCAGCCAUGAAAUUCCUCGCGUCUACGACGUUGAGGCAGGCCAUGUGAACCCGCAGGAGAUCAAGGCGAUGACACCGGCGAUGCCGACUACAGCCGUGGCGGACAAGCCGAUUGUGGCGCUGUCAGCAAAUCUGGCGCAACUGCUGCCGUCGGGGACGGUGAUGGUAUACCAGAUGCUGGCCUCGUCCUUCAGCAACAAGGGCAAGUGCUACAACACCAACUGGUACAUCACCGUCGCGUUGCUCGUCGUGCUUGCUCUCUGCUCCGUUUUCUUCAUCUGGACAGAUUGCGUGGUUCACAAUGGCAAGCUGUACUACGGCCUGGCCAUAUACGGCCGCCUCAACGUGUUCAACCUAUCCAAGAAGGAGCAGCUAGUGCUGUUUGCAGACAUUAUGCCAGAGCUGAGCCGGCGUGGCCUGAGGCGGCUGGACUUUUUUCACGCGUUCCUCGUAGUGCUUGUAUUCUUGGCAAUGGCGUUCACCGACGUAGAGAUUCAGAACUGCUUCUUCCCGGACGCGGGAAACGAAAUCCAGCAACUGUUGAAGAACCUGCCUCUGGGAAUAACCGUCUUUGCCAGCUUGGUGUUCAGCAUCUUCCCCACCAGGAGAAAAUUCAUCGGCACUGCUGCUUAA
Molecule: ribosomal RNA, 642 nt
Filed under: Triticum aestivum (bread wheat)
Lineage: Eukaryota; Viridiplantae; Streptophyta; Magnoliopsida; Poales; Poaceae
Description: partial small subunit ribosomal RNA
Source: RNAcentral